CUUGAAUUAAACUCAUAUUUGAUCCUACCUUAACAAUUUGUGAAAGAACCCAGAACAUACAAGAGACGAAAAAUGUCCGAAAAAGAAAGCUCCAUUAAAAAGAAACUACCUGUUAUUUUAAAUGGCCAAUUUUUUAAGCCAGAUGGCAAAUGUGUAUUGUGUGUAAAUAAAAAUUAAAUUCGACGAAAAUUCAACUGGAAAUUUACACAAACAUCUUAAGAUUGGGCAUCCCUCUGCGCUUCCGUCUGGUCUUCUUUUCGGUUUGCUAGUGAUUGCUAUCUGCUGUGUGAAAGAGGAAGAGGGCCUCGAUAGACGACGCCGUUGGUAAUCGAUUUUUCCCUCUCUUUUUUUUCAGUAAAAGCUGGUCUGACCUAUUUACCACACUAGAGCGGGUCUGUCAUUUUCCAAUACUAGACGGGUCUAGUUUAGGUUGUGAAUUUAUCGGUCUGGUAUUUAGUGUUGACCUAGUAUUUAUCGGUCUCGUCAUUUAAGAGUGUAUCGAGUCCGGCUUGUCUGGUCUUACUUUGGUUUUAUCGGACAAUCGAUAGUGGCGAUAAUUUUAAGCGUGUGUAUAUCGGUUGGUAUUUUUAAUUAGUGUUGUCCUAGUAUUAAUCAGUCUUGUAGUGGUGCGGUCUCAUUCAUUCAUGCGUUUUAACGGCGUCAGUUGUACGGUCUCUCUUCGCUUAGCUUGGUGUAAAAACGUGUUCCGCUUGCAAAUUUUUACCUUUUUGCUGGCUGUUGCUGGAUACUGGGCUGGUAAUACAUUUUAUAAGGUGCCGCACGUGUAGAGGAAAUAACUAAUGGCUCUCUUCUCUUCCUUACAGGAAAUCUCGUCGUCAUUUCGCUGUGGUGUCUGUCAUCAGGCAGUUUUGUGUUCAUACGGCGAUCAGCGGGUCUAGGCAAGGCGUAAUUUGGAGAAAGGCAGCA
Molecule: small RNA, 927 nt
Filed under: Drosophila yakuba
Lineage: Eukaryota; Metazoa; Arthropoda; Insecta; Diptera; Drosophilidae
Description: GE27697
Source: RNAcentral